GAGACAGUAGAGGAUGUGGUUGCAAAGAAGCUGAUAGUGCCUUGUAGUACCAGAUGGAAUUCUUUUUAUGAUGCUCUAGCUAGGAUUUGCGAGAUUUCCAUAGUGGACCUCAACACCAUCUCAUCCAAGUUUGGCUCGAAAGCAAUCACAGAAAAAGAGCAUCAGUUCCUGAAGGAAUAUUGCAUUGCGAUGAAGCCACUGACAGUUGCCCUAGAUAUCCUACAGGGAUAUGCUACCACGGCACACUGCUACCUACCCUGGAAACCUUGAUGAUGAAAACCCUUGAGCUGAAGAGAGCACUUCAAAUACUUGUGGACCUUCCAGAGGCAAUUGUGGAGGCAAUUAAAGCAAGAUUUACAGAGGUGCUGGACAGCGACAGUGCUCUCCUGGCUGCUGUGACUCUGCCCAGGUUCAAGUUACGUUGGCUGCGAACCCAAGAAAGAAAGGACAAGGCCAAAGCAGAACUGCUGGCGGUAUGUCGUGCAAGUGUAAGAAAUGAAGACCAGCAAAAAGGUACAAGCACCACCACACCCACAUGUACCAACUCAACUGUUGAGGAUGCAUUCUUCUCCUUUGAUGAUGAGGACGACAUAUCUGCUACUGCGGAAAGUCAAGUCGCAGAUUAUUUGAAAUGAGGAGCCCAAGGGAUGGACUCACUUCAUGGAUUUCCUCUUAUAAAGAGAAUUUCCCUGAAGCAUAAUGCUGCCACUCCAUCUAGUGCUCCAGUGGAGAGACUGUUUAGCCUGGGGAAGCUGGUCUUCACACCGAAGAGGAACUUCUCCUACGAUACAACCACUGGUUUACAGGCUAAAAUUUUGACAUGACUGGGUUGGGUGGGUGGAUGGAUGGAGAGAAAAAUGCAUGCAUGUUUCUAGAGUUGGAUUUAACAAACCCAUGAACAUUUUCAUUUCAAUUUAAAAUGCACUCCUGUUAAGCUAUUUACUUUCUUUAAGAAACAAAAUUGGAGCACUUUAUGUCCGUCUGUUUACUAUGGUUGUGUACUAGUUCUGUUAAGUUAGCGUUGCAGUAAGUGAAAAUUUGUUCAGGUUACUGUCUUUGCUUUGGUUAGACAACUGGGAUGGCUGGGAUAAAUUAUUGCACAGAUGCAAAAUGCAUGUUUUGGACUUUUAGUUGGAUUUAAGAAAUCCAUAUACAUUUUAGAUCAGUUUAAACAAGCCUCUGUUUAAAUUGUGUAUAUAUUUUUUUAAAACACAUUUUGAGAACUUUUGGUCCAUCCGUUGUUGCUUACAUUGAGUUCCAAUAAAUGCAAAGCUCUAUGCA
RNAcentral lists this long non-coding RNA (1281 nucleotides) under Astyanax mexicanus (Mexican tetra). RNAcentral's name for it is "lncRNA (ENSAMXG00005020441.1)". Lineage: Eukaryota; Metazoa; Chordata; Actinopteri; Characiformes; Acestrorhamphidae. The record is from RNAcentral.